RNAcentral lists this long non-coding RNA (675 nucleotides) under Vigna radiata. Its description in RNAcentral is "long non-coding RNA (VRAD_LNC015795)". The record is from RNAcentral. Lineage: Eukaryota; Viridiplantae; Streptophyta; Magnoliopsida; Fabales; Fabaceae.
GAGGUUAGGCCAACUCAAGGAGGAAGGUGACAAGAGGGGCCUCAUGGGUUGCUCUAGUCUUGAUCUAAGAUGAGUAGUAUGGCCAAAAAUGGACAGCAUAACAUUACUCAAAAUCAAAGAUGAAAGAAAAGGGUGGAGACACCUCUAUUUAUAGGCCAAGGGUGUCUCCUUUUAACCCUAAAAGCAUGAUCUCCCACCUUUGCUCUCAUUGGCCAAAAAUGAGGCCUUCUAACCUCCAAUGAUGGGAGGACAUGUGGCCACUCUAUUGACAAAUUGGCGAGUGCACCAAAUCGUACAAGUAAUAUAAAUGGUAAGACCAAGUAUCGUUUUCCCAAGAGACUCGAAUGGCUUUCUCGUUCGCGUGAAUUAAAAUAAUAAGACUUGAAAAUAAAAAUUAAUAAAUUGGAUUUGAGAGCAAAAAUAUUAACAUGCAAAAUAAAGUUGAUUCAAUUGACAAAAGAAAACAAUGGAUGAAUGGAUGUUGUUGGGGGUUUACAAUUUCAUCUAAUCCGCUCUCUCUUACCUACUCCUCUUGAAUAUUAGUUUGAUCAAUUAAUUGUUAUGCGACUUUCUUAGCCUCCCCUUAACCCGAUCCCUCGUCGAAAAGAGCCUAAUAUUAACUACUGGCUUGCUAUCCCUAGCCUCCCUGAUGAGUCGAUAUUUUAUUGAUUUCAC